GAGUUUGAUCUUGGCUCAGAUUGAACGCUGGCGGCAUGCCUUACACAUGCAAGUCGAACGGCAGCACGGGAGCUUGCUCCUGGUGGCGAGUGGCGAACGGGUGAGUAAUGCGUCGGAACGUAUCCUGGAGUGGGGGAUAACGUAGCGAAAGUUACGCUAAUACCGCAUAUUCUGUGAGCAGGAAAGCGGGGGACCUUCGGGCCUCGCGCUCUUGGAGCGGCCGAUGUCGGAUUAGCUAGUUGGUGAGGUAAAGGCUCACCAAGGCGACGAUCCGUAGCAGGUCUGAGAGGAUGAUCUGCCACACUGGAACUGAGACACGGUCCAGACUCCUACGGGAGGCAGCAGUGGGGAAUUUUGGACAAUGGGGGCAACCCUGAUCCAGCCAUGCCGCGUGAGUGAAGAAGGCCUCGGUUGGU
RNAcentral lists this ribosomal RNA (416 nucleotides) under bacterium enrichment culture clone ALO1_GLFRUDD03FP3GR. RNAcentral's name for it is "bacterial SSU rRNA". It matches the Rfam family "Bacterial small subunit ribosomal RNA", at positions 9 to 427 of the family's 1533-position model. The record is from RNAcentral.